This is a long non-coding RNA of Acanthaster planci (crown-of-thorns starfish), 2663 nucleotides long. NCBI's taxonomy places the organism in Eukaryota, Metazoa, Echinodermata, Asteroidea, Valvatida, Acanthasteridae. The record is from RefSeq and is a predicted model, not a curated record.
CAGUCCUCAACCUCCAUCACGUUUGGUCGGAAUGGCAUCGUCGGGUCGAGUGGAUAUGUUACCUUGUCGAUUAUCUCUGCAUUCAAACGUGAGUCAUAAAAACGGAGUCCCAUUAAGUCGGACGAGCGCCGGAUUAAUGCUACCCAGGAAUCCGCGCAAAAUGACAAUAACAACUGGAGUACCUGCCAUUGGACACUGGGGCAAAAACAAACGGGCUUCUUCAGCGGCCUGAAAGGUACACCUGUUCGUGGUGUGAGCUUUAGAGGCACGUCAACAUGAGGAUUUGCAUUUAAGAAGAGCCUGUCACCGAGAAGACGACGGACGAUUUGGCCUCUGCCCACUUCAGACUGAUGGAGUAGACACGAUUGGCAUACGAGGAUGCCCGAGUUGGAGCCUUCCAAAACCUUGACACUGCUGCAUCAUUUCCAACCACACAGACAAAGACAAAGGAAAGAAGCAAAACUUUGUCGCUGGCUUCUGCUUCAGGGAGUAUGGAUAGAAAGGGCUUUAUGUUAAUUAAUCAGGGACUUAAUUUCUGAAAUGAAAACCGCAGCUACGGCUGCAAGAAUAGCCUGAAACAUUGUAAUCUGUUUACACUACACUUAAGAUUAUUCGCCUGUGAUCACAAGCAAGAAAGUAACCAGUGUAUGGGAUGAAAUAAUUUUUUUUUUACAAACGCAAAGGCUUAUUAAUGAUGGUUUACUUUAUUUGAUAUCGCACAUUAGUUACAGUUUCAAAUCUAAAGAAUACUUUCAACACGUAGUGCUUGAAAACUGAAUACUAUUUCAAUUAUAUAAUACUUCCAGCCUUAACACAAUAUUAGCUCUCCAGUAUGUGUAAAGUUAUGUGGACAAACAAGGGUGAACGUGUUUUAAUCAACACAACUUUGUGGAGCUCAACAGCGGCGCCCUUGCUGAGCUCCUUAUUGCCAUAGAGCAAAUCUCAUGGAAGCGAUUUGUUUCAGCCAUAAAUGCCUAUUGUGCACACGACGAAAGGCGUUUUGCCCCGGGUUUACUGCAGCAUGUAAAGCCAGUGCAUAACACAUUCCAACGUCUGUGCGUGCUGAAUGUAGACAACUUGUUACACACCACCUCAUUUCGAGUAUAUCCUGUGCAUAGGCCAAGAACGAACAUGCUCGCAGUCUAUUUGCUAACAAGUUUUAUAUUUCAUAUAUUCUCAUUUAUAACUUGGCUACAUUUUGCCCCUUUCUAUCAUACUUUCAUAGUCCUCAGUCGUCGAAGUUGGAAAAGCACGAUAUUAGACUGCCACUUCAUCUAACACUACCUCUACUGCUGACUGGAUAGCUUGGUUUUUCGGAAAUUUCGACUGGCUUAUCUUCUCUACAGUAAAGUCUACUUGGGUAGAUGCCUCAACUGAAGAAGCGUAUCCUCAGAAAAGACCUUUACUGGUAUAUGUUGCUCAGAAAUGGACAUUUCUUCUCGUCACAGGUAUUUCAGUAGCCCAUAUUAAACUGCACGUAUUUUAGUCCUCGUUUCCUCAUAAGAAGAACAUACACUCCAGACGUCAUUUUCGUGGUUGCGUAUAACGUGUGCACAUAGAGCAGUUUUUUGAAUGAAAUUUCUUCAAGCAAGGCUGGACAUUUUUGCACAUCCCGCCCAUACGUUCACUUUCCCCCAUCAACACGAAUUUCGUACGUUUUAUAUGAAACCACCCUGAAUUAGAAACAAUUUUCUGACGUCAUGAUGACGUCAUCAGGUAUAAGCUUACAUGGUGAGCUAAAAAGUACUCUCCUGGAGUUUAGUUUUUAUAGAGCCAUUUAGUUGCGAGUUUCAACCGUUUUGACCAAAGCACCGGAAAUUUAGUGUGGCGAAUUUCACAUAUUAAUACAAGUUCAUAUUCAAACAAACUAUCUUCGAAACUGCAGUAAGAACAGUGCAACGAACAGCUAUAUGACCUACUAAGGUGCCUUACACGAAAUUCCAUGUUAAACAAAAAACUCAUUGAAGAGAAGUUUCCGUCAUGAUAGAAAGUGAAGGUCACGUGACCUCUACUUCUGGAUUCAUCGAAAUUCCAAUGAUAGGUCUAGCUCGAAACUGGUAUUUUUUUUAAUCAAUGAAAAUUAUUCCAUAUUCUGCAAAUUUGGUCUCAAAAUCAAAAACGAUUUUGAAGCCUUCGCCUGCAAGCUAAAUCUGUUCAAAGUCUACAUUGAGCAUGGGCACUCAAAAAUGAAGUACUUACUAAAGUUUCAUUAUCACAAAACGGAUGUUUAGCAUAAAACAAGUGUAAACAAGAUCUCCUUAUGCCAGUGCUGUUACGUCGUUAAAUAGAAGCACCAUUAGCUUCGUCGGUCAUAGUAUGUAUAUCAAACUCAGAGAAUAACCAAAAGUGGCUGCCGAACAAACGUACCCAAUUUUAGACAAAAGCAAAACCAAAAGUUCUUUCAACUUAAAAAAACAAAAGACGACUAAACUUACUAGAAAAAUGUGUAAGCCCUUUCGAUGACCCAUUUCUUCGUGUGUACAUUUGCGUUUAUUAAUAGAGGGUUCAUUUUGAAGGUUAAUCAGUACAGUUCCGAAUACCAAGGGGGAAGAAUUAAACCUUUCUUAUGUGGAUGUCGGAAUGAACUUUUAAGACAUUUAAAGGAACCAGGAAAUGAAUUUUUCUUAGAAUCACUUUUUGUAUAUCUCUGUACUCUUCUUCCG